UGCNGUCGUACGAAAAUUUUUAAUUUAAGUGGCGGACGGGUGAGUAACACGUAAGAAUUUGCCUUAGGAGGGGGAUAACAAUUGGAAACGAUUGCUAAUACCCCAUAUGCUUUCGAGUGAAAUGAAUUUUUUCGCCUAAAGAGAAGCUUGCGGCUGAUUAGCUUGUUGGUAAGGUAAUGGCUUACCAGGGCGACGAUCAGUAUCUGGUUUGAGAGGAUGAUCAGACACACUGGAACUGAGACACGGUCCAGACUCCUACGGGAGGCAGCAGUGGGGAAUUUUCCGCAAUGGGCGAAAGCCUGACGGAGCAAUCUCGCGUGAGGGAUGACGGCCUAUGGGUUGUAAACCUCUUUUUUCAGGGAGGAAUAACUGACGUGUACCUGAAGAAUAAGCAUCGGCUAACUCCGUGCCAGCAGCCGCGGUAAGACGGAGGAUGCAAGUGUUAUCCGGAAUCACUGGGCGUAAAGCGUCUGUAGGUGGUUUAGUAAGUCAACUGUUAAAUCUUGAAGCUUAACUUCAAAAUCGCAGUCGAAACUAUUAGACUAGAGUAUAGUAGGGGUAAAGGGAAUUUCCAGUGGAGCGGUGAAAUGCGUAGAGAUUGGAAAGAACACCGAUGGCGAAGGCACUUUACUGNGCUAUUACUGACACUGAGAGACGAAAGCUAGGGUAGCAAAUGGNAUUAGAUACCCCAGUAGUCCUAGCUGUAAACAAUGGACACUAGAUGUUGAACAGAUCGACCUGUGCAGUAUUAAAGCUAACGCGUUAANUAUCCCGCCUGGGAAGUAUGCUCGCAAGANUGAAACUCAAAGGAANUGACGGGGGCCCGCACAAGC
RNAcentral lists this ribosomal RNA (833 nucleotides) under uncultured bacterium. RNAcentral's name for it is "bacterial SSU rRNA". It matches the Rfam family "Bacterial small subunit ribosomal RNA", at positions 56 to 930 of the family's 1533-position model. The record is from RNAcentral.